UUAGAUGACUUAUUCUUAACCAAGACUCUUCCUAACAAGAUAUAUUUGUUAGAAAAACAUUUUAGUUUUAAAAUGGACCCAAGAAAGUAUUUGGAAGACAAUUUAACUGAUUUUAGUAUAAUUGUUAAAAGUCUAGCACACAAUGAUAAAAAAUUUAAAGAUGAGGACUUGGCUGUUACUCUAUCGAAUUCAUUGCCUGAAUCUUAUAAAGAUGUCAAGAAUGCCAUAAAGUAUGCUAGGGACAUAUUUACACAAGCAAUUCUGAUAGAUGCUUUAAGGUCAAGAGAGCUAGGUGUGAGAAGAGAGAAUAGAACCAACUUAAGAGAAAAUCCAUUUGUAAGGGGAAGAAUUGAAAAGAAAGAAUUUAAUUUCCAAACCAAGAAGGAAAGGGAGAGAUCUAAAACUAGAUCCAAAUCUAAAGAUAGAAGUAGUAAGAAAUGUUAUAAUUGUGGGAAGCUGGGACACUUCAAGAGAGAAUGUUUUGACUGGAAAAAGAAACAAAAAAAUUAGAACAAAAAUGAUUAGAAUAAUGCAGCCAUAGUGUCUGAAUUGGACAGCCUACAUGUACUAAAUUGUCAACUGAAAACUCUAGUAAAGAUUGGAUUCUAAAUACUGGAUGUACCUUUCAUAUGUGUUCUGAAAGAUCAUGGUUUUAUAAUUACAAGGAAAUAGAACUAGGAAAAGUAUAUAUGGGAGAUAAUAAUUCCCAGACUGUGAUUGACACCGGUGACAUUGCCAUAAAAAUUCUUGAUGGCAUUGUCAGGCCAAUAGAAAAUGUGAGGUAUGUCCCAAAUUUGAAAAGGAACCUUAUUUCAUUAUAAAUCCUAGAAGAUGAGGGAUAUACACUCAGAUCUGAUAAUGAAAUUUUGAAAGUAAUGAAGGGUUCUUUUAUAGUGAUGAAAGGACAAAAAAGAAAUGGUUUAUACUAUCUAGAUGGAAAAAUAGUUAUAUCACCCGAUUCAAGUGUAUUAACUGUAAGUGAAAAUAAAUAUAGUCUUUGGCAUAAUAGA
This 1010-nucleotide long non-coding RNA is filed under the name Olea europaea subsp. europaea. The record is from RNAcentral. Lineage: Eukaryota; Viridiplantae; Streptophyta; Magnoliopsida; Lamiales; Oleaceae.